GUCACUGCUAUUGGGAUUCGACUAAGCCCAUGCGAGUCGUGAGGGUUCGGCCCUCGGCAGACGGCUCAGUAACACGUAGAUAAUUUGCCCUUAGGUGGAGGAUACCCUCGGGAAACUGAGAAUAAUACUCCAUAGAUCUAGACUGCUGGAAUGCUUUUAGAUUGAAAGAUUUAUCGCCUAAGGAUAAGUCUGCGGACUAUCAGGUUGUAGUCAGGGUAACUACCUGACUAGCCUACGACGGAUACGGGUAGUGAGAGCUUUAGCCCGGAGAUGAUAUCUGAGACACGAUAUCAGGCCCUACGGGGCGCAGCAGGCGCGAAAACUUCGCACUGUGCGAAAGCACGACGAGGGAAUCCCAAGUGCUGGCUCGUAAGAGUCAGCUGUUUCUCUGUCUAAAAAAUAGAGAGAGUAAGGGCUGGGUAAGACGGGUGCCAGCCGCCGCGGUAAUACCUGCAGCUCAAGUGGUGACCGCUAUUAUUGGGCCUAAAACGUCCGUAGCCGGUUCUAUAAAUGCCUGGGUAAAUCGUACGGCUUAACCGUACGAAUUCCGGGUAGACUGUUCAACUUGGGACCGGGAGAGGCUAGAGGUACUCCUGGGGUAGAGGUGAAAUUCUGUAAUCCUAGGGGGACCACCAGUGGCGAAGGCGUCUAGCUAGAACGGGUCUGACGGUGAGGGACGAAGCCCUGGGGAGCAAACGGGAUUAGAUACCCCGGUAGUCCAGGGUGUAAACGCUGCUCGCUUGAUGUUAGUCGGGCUCCGAGCCCAACUAGUGUCGGAGAGAAGUUGUUAAGCGAGCUGCCUGGGGAGUACGGUCGCAAGACUGAAAUUUAAAGGAAUUGGCGGGGGAGCACCGCAACGGGUGGAGCGUGCGGUUUAAUUGGAUUCAACCCCGGGU
This 896-nucleotide ribosomal RNA is filed under the name uncultured Thermoplasmata archaeon. Its description in RNAcentral is "bacterial SSU rRNA". It matches the Rfam family "Archaeal small subunit ribosomal RNA", at positions 23 to 923 of the family's 1478-position model. Lineage: Archaea; Methanobacteriati; Thermoplasmatota; Thermoplasmata. The record is from RNAcentral.